RNAcentral lists this ribosomal RNA (605 nucleotides) under Enterobacter hormaechei. Its description in RNAcentral is "bacterial SSU rRNA". It matches the Rfam family "Bacterial small subunit ribosomal RNA", at positions 555 to 1160 of the family's 1533-position model. The record is from RNAcentral. Lineage: Bacteria; Pseudomonadati; Pseudomonadota; Gammaproteobacteria; Enterobacterales; Enterobacteriaceae.
UGGGCGUAAAGCGCACGCAGGCGGUCUGUCAAGUCGGAUGUGAAAUCCCCGGGCUCAACCUGGGAACUGCAUUCGAAACUGGCAGGCUAGAGUCUUGUAGAGGGGGGUAGAAUUCCAGGUGUAGCGGUGAAAUGCGUAGAGAUCUGGAGGAAUACCGGUGGCGAAGGCGGCCCCCUGGACAAAGACUGACGCUCAGGUGCGAAAGCGUGGGGAGCAAACAGGAUUAGAUACCCUGGUAGUCCACGCCGUAAACGAUGUCGACUUGGAGGUUGUGCCCUUGAGGCGUGGCUUCCGGAGCUAACGCGUUAAGUCGACCGCCUGGGGAGUACGGCCGCAAGGUUAAAACUCAAAUGAAUUGACGGGGGCCCGCACAAGCGGUGGAGCAUGUGGUUUAAUUCGAUGCAACGCGAAGAACCUUACCUACUCUUGACAUCCAGAGAACUUUGCAGAGAUGCAUUGGUGCCUUCGGGAACUCUGAGACAGGUGCUGCAUGGCUGUCGUCAGCUCGUGUUGUGAAAUGUUGGGUUAAGUCCCGCAACGAGCGCAACCCUUAUCCUUUGUUGCCAGCGGUUAGGCCGGGAACUCAAAGGAGACUGCCAGUGAUA